AAUAUCAGUAAAUGAUACUCUCUUCGGAGCAUUGGAGACAGGUGGUGCAUGGUUGUCGUCAGCUCGUGUCGUGAGAUGUUGGGUUAAGUCCCGCAACGAGCGCAACCCUUCGCCUUUAGUAGCCAGCAGUAAGAUGGGCACUCUAGAGGGACUGCCAGGGAUAACCUGGAGGAAGGUGGGGAUGACGUCAAAUCAUCAUGCCCCUUAUGAUUUGGGCUACACACGUGCUACAAUGGCGUAAACAAAGAGAAGCGAAAUGGUGACAUUAAGCAAAUCUCAAAAAUAACGUCUCAGUUCGGAUUGUAGUCUGCAACUCGACUACAUGAAGCUGGAAUCGCUAGUAAUCGCGAAUCAGCAUGUCGCGGUGAAUACGUUCCCGGGUCUUGUACACACCGCCCGUCACACCAUGGGAGUCGGUAAUGCCCGAAGUCUGUGACCUAACCGUAAGGAAGGAGCAGCCGAAGGCAGGACUGAUAACUGGGGUGAAGUCGUAACAAGGUAACCUAAUCUAGAUGCAUCGCGAG
This 524-nucleotide ribosomal RNA is filed under the name uncultured bacterium. RNAcentral's name for it is "bacterial SSU rRNA". It matches the Rfam family "Bacterial small subunit ribosomal RNA", at positions 994 to 1533 of the family's 1533-position model. The record is from RNAcentral.